This 237-nucleotide unclassified non-coding RNA is filed under the name uncultured Agaricomycetes. Its description in RNAcentral is "sequence contains ITS2". The stretch from base 1 to 52 matches the Rfam family "5.8S ribosomal RNA", at positions 103 to 154 of the family's 154-position model. Lineage: Eukaryota; Fungi; Basidiomycota; Agaricomycetes. The record is from RNAcentral.
AACGCAUCUUGCGCUCCUUGGUAUUCCGAGGAGCAUGCCUGUUGGAGUGUCAUGAAUACUCUCAAUGAAUAAUUUGUUUUCAUUGGACUUGGAUGCUGCUGUUGUGGCUCGUCUGAAUUGGAUUGACUGGGUUCGCGCCUUACUGGUGUAAUAAAUUAUUCACUAGGUUAAGGUGAACUCUUUUACUAUAUUAUAUUGUUAGACCUCCAAUCAGGUAGGACUACCCGCUGAACUUAA